Molecule: long non-coding RNA, 482 nt
Filed under: Homo sapiens (human)
Lineage: Eukaryota; Metazoa; Chordata; Mammalia; Primates; Hominidae
Description: HSALNT0342733
Source: RNAcentral
UGGCUCUCAGAUCUCUCCAGCUGGUUCAGAAAGCCCUGAGAUGCCUCACAUGAGCUUAGGAGCUAGUACUCUCUGCCAGACUGCCCUCUCUUCCUCCCUCUGCCAUUCUCUCCUACAUCUCCCUGAUUCCAGAAGGAGGAAGACUUUUAAGAAGUGGCUUCUUAUUCCUCAUGCAAAGAGAACUGGGUCUUUCCUGAGUCUUGGCUACAUCUCCAUUCUUGGUUUCUGUGCAAGAUCUCUGAGUCCUUUUAAUAAAUCCACUCUGUGUGAAUACUAAAAGGAAAAUGGAAAGGAGGGCAAAUAGAAUUAGCUGAUUUUCUCAUGAGGAAUCACAGUACCAACAAGAGCUCAGAUUAACCAUAGCUGUGUGUGUGGCCAGGUGGGAGACAUGGUAACUGUAAGCAGGUAGCCGGUUUGAGCAGAUUAAGAGAGAAGAGAAGAUUGAGACUAUUUCGAAAAAGCAGAUUGAAGCCUCCAAAGAC